This 1040-nucleotide ribosomal RNA is filed under the name Fusarium sp. Ok II. Its description in RNAcentral is "eukaryotic LSU rRNA". The stretch from base 463 to 1040 matches the Rfam family "Eukaryotic large subunit ribosomal RNA", at positions 1 to 590 of the family's 3401-position model. Lineage: Eukaryota; Fungi; Ascomycota; Sordariomycetes; Hypocreales; Nectriaceae. The record is from RNAcentral.
CAUUACCGAGUUUACAACUCCCAAACCCCUGUGAACAUACCACUUGUUGCCUCGGCGGAUCAGCCCGCUCCCGGUAAAACGGGACGGCCCGCCAGAGGACCCCUAAACUCUGUUUCUAUAUGUAACUUUUGAGUAAAACCAUAAAUAAAUCAAAACUUUCAACAACGGAUCUCUUGGUUCUGGCAUCGAUGAAGAACGCAGCAAAAUGCGAUAAGUAAUGUGAAUUGCAGAAUUCAGUGAAUCAUCGAAUCUUUGAACGCACAUUGCGCCCGCCAGUAUUCUGGCGGGCAUGCCUGUUCGAGCGUCAUUUCAACCCUCAAGCACAGCUUGGUGUUGGGACUCGCGUUAAUUCGCGUUCCUCAAAUUGAUUGGCGGUCACGUCGAGCUUCCAUAGCGUAGUAGUAAAACCCUCGUUACUGGUAAUCGUCGCGGCCACGCCGUUAAACCCCAACUUCUGAAUGUUGACCUCGGAUCAGGUAGGAAUACCCGCUGAACUUAAGCAUAUCAAUAAGCGGAGGAAAAGAAACCAACAGGGAUUGCCCUAGUAACGGCGAGUGAAGCGGCAACAGCUCAAAUUUGAAAUCUGGCUCUCGGGCCCGAGUUGUAAUUUGUAGAGGAUACUUUUGAUGCGGUGCCUUCCGAGUUCCCUGGAACGGGACGCCAUAGAGGGUGAGAGCCCCGUCUGGUUGGAUGCCAAAUCUCUGUAAAGUUCCUUCAACGAGUCGAGUAGUUUGGGAAUGCUGCUCUAAAUGGGAGGUAUAUGUCUUCUAAAGCUAAAUACCGGCCAGAGACCGAUAGCGCACAAGUAGAGUGAUCGAAAGAUGAAAAGCACUUUGAAAAGAGAGUUAAAAAGUACGUGAAAUUGUUGAAAGGGAAGCGUUUAUGACCAGACUUGGGCUUGGUUAAUCAUCUGGGGUUCUCCCCAGUGCACUUUUCCAGUCCAGGCCAGCAUCAGUUUUCCCCGGGGGACAAAGGCGGCGGGAAUGUGGCUCUCUUCGGGGAGUGUUAUAGCCCACCGUGUAAUACCCUGGGGGGGACUG